RNAcentral lists this transfer RNA (75 nucleotides) under Caudoviricetes sp. RNAcentral describes it as "tRNA-Gly". Lineage: Duplodnaviria; Heunggongvirae; Uroviricota; Caudoviricetes. The record is from RNAcentral.
CGAGUAGUUAUAUUACGGUGUUUAGAGCGCUUCCUUGCCAAGGAAGAGGUCGAGAGUUAGAGUCUCUUAGCUCGC